This 467-nucleotide ribosomal RNA is filed under the name uncultured bacterium. Its description in RNAcentral is "partial 16S ribosomal RNA". It matches the Rfam family "Bacterial small subunit ribosomal RNA", at positions 28 to 507 of the family's 1533-position model. The record is from RNAcentral.
GACGAACGCUGGCGGCGUGCUUAACACAUGCAAGUCGAACGGAAAGGCCCUGCUUUUGUGGGGUGCUCGAGUGGCGAACGGGUGAGUAACACGUGAGUAACCUGCCCUUGACUUUGGGAUAACUUCAGGAAACUGGGGCUAAUACCGGAUAGGAGCUCCUGCUGCAUGGUGGGGGUUGGAAAGUUUCGGCGGUUGGGGAUGGACUCGCGGCUUAUCAGCUCGUUGGUGGGGUAGUGGCUUACCAAGGCUUUGACGGGUAGCCGGCCUGAGAGGGUGACCGGCCACAUUGGGACUGAGAUACGGCCCAGACUCCUACGGGAGGCAGCAGUGGGGAAUAUUGCACAAUGGGCGGAAGCCUGAUGCAGCAACGCCGCGUGCGGGAUGACGGCCUUCGGGUUGUAACCGCUUUCGCCUGUGACGAAGCGUGAGUGACGGUAAUGGGUAAAGAAGCACCGGCUAACUACGUG